RNAcentral lists this microRNA precursor (78 nucleotides) under Myotis davidii. RNAcentral describes it as "mir-9229 microRNA precursor family". It matches the Rfam family "mir-9229 microRNA precursor family". Lineage: Eukaryota; Metazoa; Chordata; Mammalia; Chiroptera; Vespertilionidae. The record is from Rfam by way of RNAcentral.
GAGACACCCCUCCGGGGCUGGAGACUUGCUUCAGUGGGGCUUUGGUGCUCACUGAGUCUGCCCCCUGAGUGUGUCCUU